RNAcentral lists this ribosomal RNA (504 nucleotides) under uncultured bacterium. RNAcentral describes it as "partial 16S ribosomal RNA". It matches the Rfam family "Bacterial small subunit ribosomal RNA", at positions 30 to 523 of the family's 1533-position model. The record is from RNAcentral.
AUUGAACGCUGGCGGCAGGCCUAACACAUGCAAGUCGAACGGUAGCACAGAGAGCUUGCUCUCGGGUGACGAGUGGCGGACGGGUGAGUAAUGUCUGGGAAACUGCCCGAUGGGGGGGGAUAACUACUGGAAACGGUAGCUAAUACCGCAUAACGUCGCAAGACCAAAGUGGGGGACCUUCGGGCCUCACACCAGCGGAUGUGCCCAGAUGGGAUUAGCUAGUAGGUGGGGUAAUGGCUCACCUAGGCGACGAUCCCUGGCUGGUCUGAGAGGAUGACCAGCCACACUGGAACUGAGACACGGUCCAGACUCCUACGGGAGGAAGCAGUGGGUAAUAUUGCACACUGGGCGCAAGCCUGAUGCAGCCAUGCCGCGUGUAUGAAGAAGGCCUUCGGGUUGUAAAGUACUUUCAGCGGGGAGGAAGGCGGUGAAGUUAAUAGCUUCACCGAUUGACGUUACCCGCAGAAGAAGCACCGGCUAACUCCGUGCCAGCAGCCGCCGUAA